CCUACGGGUGGCAGCAGUGGGGAAUAUUGGACAAUGGGGGGAACCCUGAUCCAGCGAAGCAGCGUGAGUGAAGAAGGAUUUCGGGAGGUAAAGCUCUAUCAGCAGGGAAGAAAAUGACGGUACCUGACUAAGAAGCCCCGGCUAACUACGGGACAGCAGCCGCGGUAAGACGGAGGGGGCAAGCGUUAUACGGAUUUACUGGGGGGAAAGGGAGCGUAGAAGGUGCCGCAAGUCUGAUGUGAAAGGUCGGGGCCCAACCCCGGGACUGCAUGGGAAACUGUUGAACUGGAGUACAGGAGAGGUCAGCGUAAUUCCUUUUGUAGCGGUGCACUGCUUAGCUCUUAGG
RNAcentral lists this ribosomal RNA (346 nucleotides) under uncultured bacterium. RNAcentral's name for it is "partial 16S ribosomal RNA". It matches the Rfam family "Bacterial small subunit ribosomal RNA", at positions 338 to 701 of the family's 1533-position model. The record is from RNAcentral.